UCCUACGGGAGGCAGCAGUGGGGAAUAUUGGACAAUGGGCGAAAGCCUGAUCCAGCAAUGCCGCGUGAGUGAUGAAGGCCUUAGGGUUGUAAAGCUCUUUUACCCGGGAUGAUAAUGACAGUACCGGGAGAAUAAGCCCCGGCUAACUCCGUGCCAGCAGCCGCGGUAAU
RNAcentral lists this ribosomal RNA (170 nucleotides) under uncultured bacterium. RNAcentral describes it as "partial 16S ribosomal RNA". It matches the Rfam family "Bacterial small subunit ribosomal RNA", at positions 337 to 524 of the family's 1533-position model. RNAcentral also lists the same sequence under 1 other name. The record is from RNAcentral.